GGUUCCAUAGUGUAGCGGUUAGCACAUCUGCUUUACACGCAGAAUUUCCUGGGUUCGCCCCCUAGUGGAGCAA
RNAcentral lists this transfer RNA (73 nucleotides) under Pteropus alecto (black flying fox). It matches the Rfam family "tRNA". Rfam says of the family: Transfer RNA (tRNA) molecules are approximately 80 nucleotides in length. Their secondary structure includes four short double-helical elements and three loops (D, anti-codon, and T loops). Further hydrogen bonds mediate the characteristic L-shaped molecular structure. tRNAs have two regions of fundamental functional importance: the anti-codon, which is responsible for specific mRNA codon recognition, and the 3' end, to which the tRNAs corresponding amino acid is attached (by aminoacyl-tRNA synthetases). tRNAs cope with the degeneracy of the genetic code in two manners: having more than one tRNA (with a specific anti-codon) for a particular amino acid; and 'wobble' base-pairing, i.e. permitting non-standard base-pairing at the 3rd anti-codon position. The record is from Rfam by way of RNAcentral. Lineage: Eukaryota; Metazoa; Chordata; Mammalia; Chiroptera; Pteropodidae.